This 577-nucleotide ribosomal RNA is filed under the name uncultured soil bacterium. RNAcentral describes it as "bacterial SSU rRNA". It matches the Rfam family "Bacterial small subunit ribosomal RNA", at positions 924 to 1498 of the family's 1533-position model. The record is from RNAcentral.
CACAAGCAGCGGAGCAUGUGGUUUAAUUCGACGCAACGCGAAGAACCUUACCAGGGCUUGACAUGCACGGGAAUUGCGUAGAAAUACGUAAGCCCUUCGGGGCUCGUGCACAGGUGGUGCAUGGCUGUCGUCAGCUCGUGUCGUGAGAUGUUGGGUCAAGUCCCGCAACGAGCGCAACCCCUGUCCUAUGUUGCCAGCGAGUAAUGUCGGGGACUCAUAGGAGACUGCCGGUGACAAACCGGAGGAGGGUGGGGAUAACGUCAAGUCAUCAUGCCCCUUAUGUUCUGGGCUACACACGUGCUACAUUGGCCGGUACAAAGGGCUGCAAACCCGUGAGGGGGAGCGAAUCCCAAAAAGCCGGUCCCGGUUCGGAUUGAAGGCUGAAACUCGCCUUCAUGAAGGCGGAGUUGCUAGUAAUCGCGGAUCAGCAAUGCCGCGGUGAAUACGUUCCCGGGCCUUGUACACACCGCCCGUCACACCACGAAAGCCGGUAACACCCGAAGCCGGUGUCCUAACCCGCAAGGGAGGGAGCCGUCGAAGGUGGGAUUGGUGAUUGGGGUGAAGUCGUAACAAGGUA